AUAACCCGAAUCGAUUCAGGUGCCCUGCGGGGCUUGAUAGGGAAUCCCGUUAAAGUCGGGAGCGGACCCGCCGCCGUAAGUCCACGAUACGCCGCAUCCACACCGUGCCACUGGGAAAAAUUCCCGGGAAGGCCGGAUGCCGCGGGACAAGCCGGAAGACCUGCCUGAGUGUACAGGAUGAC
RNAcentral lists this non-coding RNA (182 nucleotides) under Oleidesulfovibrio alaskensis. Lineage: Bacteria; Pseudomonadati; Thermodesulfobacteriota; Desulfovibrionia; Desulfovibrionales; Desulfovibrionaceae. RNAcentral also lists the same sequence under 1 other name. The record is from RNAcentral.